ACAACCAACAAGCCUUUAAGCUUGGUGUUGGAUGUCACUAUAUUAAGGUGCAUCUUAAAAUCAAUAAGCAGUAUUCUCCAGCUUCGAGCGGUAGUAAUAUAUCUCGCUUCUGGUGCUUAGAUAGUCUGCUAAAUAAUUAAUUUAUCAAG
RNAcentral lists this unclassified non-coding RNA (149 nucleotides) under uncultured Ascomycota. RNAcentral describes it as "sequence contains ITS2". Lineage: Eukaryota; Fungi; Ascomycota. The record is from RNAcentral.